ACGGAAGGCAGCAGUGGGGAAUAUUGGGCAAUGGGGGAAACCCUGACCCAGCAACGCCGCGUGAAGGAAGAAGGCUUUCGGGUUGUAAACUUCUUUUACCAGGGACGAAGAACGUGACGGUACCUGGAGAAAAAGCCACGGCUAACUACGUGCCAGCAGCCGCGGUAAUACGUAGGGAGCAAGCGUUAUCCGGAUUUACUGGGUGUAAAGGGCGUGUAGGCGGGACAUCAAGUCAGAUGUGAAAGCACGAGGCUCAACUUCGUGUCUGCAUUUGAAACUGACGUUCUUGAGUGUUGGAGAGGCUAACGGAACUCCUAGUGUAGCGGUGAAAUGCGUAGAUAUUAGGAAGAACACCAGUGGCGAAGGCGGUUAGCUGGACAAUAACUGACGCUGAGGCGCGAAAGCGUGGGUAGCAAACAGGAUUAGAUACCCUGGUA
RNAcentral lists this ribosomal RNA (437 nucleotides) under uncultured Oscillospiraceae bacterium. Its description in RNAcentral is "bacterial SSU rRNA". It matches the Rfam family "Bacterial small subunit ribosomal RNA", at positions 341 to 792 of the family's 1533-position model. Lineage: Bacteria; Bacillati; Bacillota; Clostridia; Eubacteriales; Oscillospiraceae. The record is from RNAcentral.